This 200-nucleotide unclassified non-coding RNA is filed under the name Pleosporales sp. RNAcentral describes it as "partial internal transcribed spacer 2". Lineage: Eukaryota; Fungi; Ascomycota; Dothideomycetes; Pleosporales. The record is from RNAcentral.
UUAAGUUCAGCGGGUAUCCCUACCUGAUCCGAGGUCAAACCGUGAUAAAGUGUGGUUUACCAGGCGGUGUCGUCCGGUCUCCGAAGCGGGUAGAUUUGACUACGCUGGGAGCUCGGCCGCCACCGCCCACGAGUUUCGGGCACGUCCGGUGAGGACGAGGCCCAACACCAAGCAGAAGCUUGAGGGUUGAAAUGACGCUC